Molecule: ribosomal RNA, 490 nt
Filed under: Ralstonia mannitolilytica
Lineage: Bacteria; Pseudomonadati; Pseudomonadota; Betaproteobacteria; Burkholderiales; Burkholderiaceae
Description: bacterial SSU rRNA
Rfam family: Bacterial small subunit ribosomal RNA
Source: RNAcentral
CAGAGUUUUGAUCCUGGCUCAGAUUGAACGCUGGCGGCAUGCCUUACACAUGCAAGUCGAACGGCAGCGGGGGAAAGCUUGCUUUCCUGCCGGCGAGUGGCGAACGGGUGAGUAAUACAUCGGAACGUGCCCUGUAGUGGGGGAUAACUAGUCGAAAGAUUAGCUAAUACCGCAUACGACCUGAGGGUGAAAGUGGGGGACCGCAAGGCCUCAUGCUAUAGGAGCGGCCGAUGUCUGAUUAGCUAGUUGGUGGGGUAAAGGCCUACCAAGGCGACGAUCAGUAGCUGGUCUGAGAGGACGAUCAGCCACACUGGGACUGAGACACGGCCCAGACUCCUACGGGAGGCAGCAGUGGGGAAUUUUGGACAAUGGGCGAAAGCCUGAUCCAGCAAUGCCGCGUGUGUGAAGAAGGCCUUCGGGUUGUAAAGCACUUUUGUCCGGAAAGAAAUGGCUCUGGUUAAUACCCGGAGUUGAUGACGGUACCGAAGAA